AAACUAGUGGAUACAAGAAACUUAGGCAGAUUAUUACACCAUAUGGGUGUGAGAGAUAAUGAAUAUUAUCUACUUGGUAUCAGCAAACAGGUGUCCAAGGUGAUCAAUUCAGGACUCUUCCACUGAAGAGAUGUGAAGUGUAAGUUUAACUGAAGUAUCAUUGCAAUUGUGUGCCUUCUCAGUUAUUGGGCAAUUUAAAGAGCAUGAUGAAUGUUUGUAGUAUAAUGGUGUAAAUCCUUUUGAUUUGUUGCAUGAAAGACAUGUGGGAUCAUGUAGCACCUGCUUUGACAUUGAUUCUCAGGAGUGUGAGUUGCUCCUCUGAUUUUAGAUCACAUUUGUUCUCAUCACUUGGCCUAUGCACAUUGAUAUUGACACGGUUUUAGUUUAGUUUUUGACAUAUGAGAAAUCAUACCAUGUUUGAAAUUGUAAGGGUAUAUUUCAUGGAGCCUGUAUUCCCUUUUCUCAGUGCAUUUCUGUCACGUUCUAGUCCGCAGACACAAAGUAGAAGCCAUCAAAGCCUACGCUAAUACAGGCAGGAGGACAGAGUUUGAUGCUAACACUGCAUGAAUGUGUGGAUAUCUUUGUCAUAUUUACAUAUGAGUGAUUAUGAAUCCCUUUUGCUUUUCAGUGUCUUCUCAGAAACCACCAGCCUUGAAGGCUACAAGUGUCAAGGAAGAUUCUGUUUUGAAUAUAGCCAGAGAAAAAAAGGAUGGAGAAAAAUCUAGGACAGGUAAUUUUGAAAACAGAUUUAAUGUCAUGUUCAGUCCAGAUAGAUAAGAAGUUCUCUUCCCCAAAUAAAUCAGCGGGGGGCUCGUCGAAGCUGCACUUUCUGAUUCAGCAGGCCAGAGAUUCUUCAUUUGUAGUAAGUUCUUGAGUGAUGCUGAUGCUGAUGCUGAUGCUGCUGGUCUGGAACAUGACCUUCGCUGUAAGAUUAUACACUUCCCCACAUUGAAGUUGGGAAGAAGAUAUAUGGAGAGCAGUUGAAGACAUAAGGGGCUCUGGGGAAGAGCAUAGUUUUGCUUUAAUUCUACAGCUUGUUUUCAGUAAGGGUGGAAGGAGAAAGAGAGGAAGUAUCGAUUUUACAGACAUCACAUCAUACUGCUAAAAACAGACAGCAAACUUGUUGUAAUAACCCGUACACACUGUAGGAGAACUAAGGAGACCCCUGGUGUAGCAAUCAUUUUCCCAAGGAAGACGGAUUGUGAGGCAGGAAGGUGUGAAAAGAGGAAGUCAUUUAUAUAAUUUUGGGGUUUGUGCUGAGGAAACCUGAGUGAACUCACUUCAGAUGCAUUUGGAAUAUUUUAAUAAAAAAUACUUGAUUUUGGCUGCUGCAGGAACUGCUGGAAGAAGGAAACAAUCCUAGAAUUGGCAUAAAAACACACUGAGUCAUUACUCCUCUUUGUUACUAUUAGGCAUCAGAGAUACAUGUUUUGUUGAUUUUAGUUAUAGAAAUGAGACAAACUUGAAUAUGAACACAUUGGCUUCCUUGUUGAAGGAGCUACCUCUUGGAUACAAUAGCUAUUUCAUGAAACUUCUUUAGAGAACAACAUGAUACUCCCAACAAAGCUAUUUUAGAAACAAAAAUUAUGCUGGAUUCUAAUUAACUCCUAAAAUGGUCAUUUUCAAUGAAUAUUGCAGUGAUUUCUGAAAGAGAAACUGAUCAGUAUCUAAUGCUUGUAGCAGUUUUACUUUGUAUAGGUAUGUCAAAAUUGAUAAUUGAUGAUAUUUUUAUUGAGGCUAAUAUAUUAUCCUUUGGUGCCACGACUGGAUGAAGAAACUUUUGGAAGGCUAAACUAGUGGAUACAAGAAACUUAGGCAGAUUAUUACACCAUAUGGGUGUGAGAGAUAAUGAAUAUUAUCUACUUGGUAUCAGCAAACAGGUGUCCAAGGUGAUCAAUUCAGGACUCUUCCACUGAAGAGAUGUGAAGUGUAAGUUUAACUGAAGUAUCAUUGCAAUUGUGUGCCUUCUCAGUUAUUGGGCAAUUUAAAGAGCAUGAUGAAUGUUUGUAGUAUAAUGGUGUAAAUCCUUUUGAUUUGUUGCAUGAAAGACAUGUGGGAUCAUGUAGCACCUGCUUUCACGUUGAUUCUCAGGUGUAUGAGUUUCUCCUCUGAUUUUAGAUCACUUUGUCCUCAUCACUCAGC
RNAcentral lists this long non-coding RNA (2142 nucleotides) under Homo sapiens (human). RNAcentral's name for it is "non-protein coding lnc-ACTR1B-5:1". The record is from RNAcentral. Lineage: Eukaryota; Metazoa; Chordata; Mammalia; Primates; Hominidae.